Long non-coding RNA from Zea mays, 650 nucleotides. RefSeq lists it as uncharacterized. NCBI's taxonomy places the organism in Eukaryota, Viridiplantae, Streptophyta, Magnoliopsida, Poales, Poaceae. The transcript is spliced from 2 exons. The record is from RefSeq and is a predicted model, not a curated record.
ACCUUCCGACCUAUCGAUUCGAAGGCGGAUCUAGAAUGGCAGAUCACUCGUGCAACUCUUCUGCCCCAUCGCAAAUCAAAAUCCCACCGAAUCACCCCGUGACCCCUCCUCCCCUCCCACAAUCCCAGCCACAAUCCACCAAGCCCCACCCACAGAUCAAGUCAAGCAUCUCCUAAUAACCUAGACAUCAGCAGGCCUCUCCCGUCGACCCCCUUGCUUCUCUCCGGUUGCCGUCAACAUCUUUACUAGGCGGAAGAAUCCGAUGUCACCAUGCGCCAAGGUCAGUUGUGCGGGUGAGGCGGCAGUUGCUGUGCCAGCUCAGGUGCGCCGCUGCCCAAUCUCGACCGAAAUGCUCAACGGACAUCACAUCACGCCGUGGAAGAAGGGUGUCUUUUCUAGACACCAGCCACCGACCAAGCCUCAUGGAGUGGCCUCCCAUUGCUGCUGACCACUGCGCUCACCAAGGUCAAGAGGGGGAAGCCAGUGAGAGGGGCUCAUCGAUAGUUAGACCCCGCCAUUGGUGGAGGAUAGGGACAGAACAUUCAAAGUUAGUUUAGUGAAGCCAAUAACCACAGAGCGAGGCUGACAGAGUGAGCAAUAAAAUUUUCAGGUUUUGUUAACGGUAAAUGUUUCAAUUGCUUUUCUCAGUA